This is a long non-coding RNA of Cuculus canorus (common cuckoo), 565 nucleotides long. RefSeq lists it as uncharacterized. The record is from RefSeq and is a predicted model, not a curated record. NCBI's taxonomy places the organism in Eukaryota, Metazoa, Chordata, Aves, Cuculiformes, Cuculidae. The transcript has 3 exons.
UUUUCCUGAGGAAGCCUAAGAUUUACCAACAGUCUCCACUGUUGAUCCCUGUAUCAUUCAAUUUCUUUCCUCAAAUGAAGCAACUGGUUUACACUCUAUUGAAUUAGUCAGAAACAUGGUUUCACCUGUCCCUCAGAGGGGAAACUCCCCCAGAAGAACAUGAUUUAGGAUUCCUGUUGGGUCUCUGAUGAGCUUAAACCUUCUCUACAGGGCAUUCACAGAAGAUAGAUGUAAGCUACCUCCUCAGCAAACUUCAGGCUCACAAAGAAGAGGGUGAAUAAUGUGCCCUAUGGAACACAAGCCUUUGGAAAGGAGGAAGAGGUACCUACCACAGAUCUCCAGGUGGUUUUGGAGAAAGUGAUGAGGUGCACUCUUUCCUGCGCUCCUGCUUCAUAACCGUAAGCACAAAGGCAUGAUCAGUCCUGUUGUCACCUUGGCACUGGCAGCAACUGGCUUCCACCUGUGAGCAUGAGGAAGAAGAGGAAGACUAAUAGAUACUGGCCAGAGAACAGACAUACCAGCCACACCACGGCCGCAGUACAGAGCCACAGCAGAUAUGCCGGGC